UGAGCAACCUGCCCUUGACCCUGGAAUAACAGCUGGAAACAGCUGCUAAUACCGGAUACGACCUCCGAUGGCAUCAUCUGGAGGUGGAAAGCUCCGGCGGUCAAGGAUGGGCUCGCGGCCUAUCAGCUUGUUGGUGAGGUAACGGCUCACCAAGGCUUCGACGGGUAGCCGGCCUGAGAGGGUNAUCGGCCACAUUGGAACUGAGACACGGUCCAGACCUCUACGGGAG
Molecule: ribosomal RNA, 229 nt
Filed under: uncultured bacterium
Lineage: Bacteria
Description: partial 16S ribosomal RNA
Rfam family: Bacterial small subunit ribosomal RNA
Source: RNAcentral